GGGCGUCUGCAGAAACGCAGGGACCCGGAUGGAGCCGCGGGCCGCGAGACCCUGCGGGGACACAGCUCCGCCGAGUCGCGUUUGAGUGGCACCGCCAUGGCCGGGGUCCCGGCCGGGGCGAGCUCCAGGCCAAGGCCGGCCUUAAAUAGGGCCGCUCUGGCCCCUGCACCCCGUGGAGGAGCCGGGCGGAGGGAGAGGGCGAGGUCGGGCCCCUGCGGGCACGGGAGGGUCAGGCGGCCCCGGCCCCUCCCUCCUCCGCCCUGGCCAGGUCCCCACGGCAGGGCCCCAGGCUGAAUCUGAAGGCAGGCGAAGCUCUUGGCAACAGUCCCCUGUAAUGUUACCAACUUUCCUGCUCAGAUUUUAUUUCCUGACCUUUGAGUUCAUUCCGUCUACAGAUUAUUUCGGCAAGGCCGACGCCUCCCCCCAGGGUCAGCUGCGGGCUCCCAGGCCUAGGCGCCCAUGACCCCUACGCCAACAGCCGCCUGGACACCGCCGCCGCCACUGCGACCUAGCGCCGCCGCCGCCGGGGCCCAAUGCCGGUCAUGCCCAUUCCGCGGCGGGUGCGCUCCUUCCACGGCCCGCACACCACCUGCCUGCAUGCGGCCUGCGGGCCCGUGCGCGCCUCCCACCUGGCCCGCACCAAGUACA
This 648-nucleotide long non-coding RNA is filed under the name Homo sapiens (human). RNAcentral describes it as "non-protein coding lnc-TMEM250-1:7". Lineage: Eukaryota; Metazoa; Chordata; Mammalia; Primates; Hominidae. The record is from RNAcentral.